Molecule: transfer RNA, 69 nt
Filed under: Varanus panoptes horni
Lineage: Eukaryota; Metazoa; Chordata; Lepidosauria; Squamata; Varanidae
Description: tRNA-Ala
Rfam family: tRNA
About the family: Transfer RNA (tRNA) molecules are approximately 80 nucleotides in length. Their secondary structure includes four short double-helical elements and three loops (D, anti-codon, and T loops).
Source: RNAcentral
AAGGCUUUAGCUUAAUUAAAGCGUCUGAGUUGCAUUCAGAUGAUGUGAAUGAGAGUUUUACAGGUCUUA